AGUGAACGCUGGCGGUAGGCCUAACACAUGCAAGUCGAACGGCAGCACAGUAAGAGCUUGCUCUUACGGGUGGCGAGUGGCGGACGGGUGAGGAAUACAUCGGAAUCUACUUUUUCGUGGGGGAUAGCGUAGGGAAACUUACGCUAAUACCGCAUACGACCUACGGGUGAAAGCAGGGGAUCUUCGGACCUUGCGCGAUUGAAUGAGCCGAUGUCGGAUUAGCUAGUUGGCGGGGUAAAGGCCCACCAAGGCGACGAUCCGUAGCUGGUCUGAGAGGAUGAUCAGCCACACUGGAACUGAGACACGGUCCAGACUCCUACGGGAGGCAGCAGUGGGGAAUAUUGGACAAUGGGCGCAGGCCUGAUCCAGCCAUACCGCGUGGGUGAAGAAGGCCUUCGGGUUGUAAAGCCCUUUUGUUGGGAAAGAAAAGCAGCAGGUUAAUACCCCGCUGUUCUGACGGUACCCAAAGAAUAAGCACCGGCUAACUUCGUG
RNAcentral lists this ribosomal RNA (492 nucleotides) under uncultured bacterium. Its description in RNAcentral is "partial 16S ribosomal RNA". It matches the Rfam family "Bacterial small subunit ribosomal RNA", at positions 29 to 507 of the family's 1533-position model. The record is from RNAcentral.